AGCUGUAAGGUUGAAACCCUUCUUCUCCUCAAACUGAUGGUGGUGGAAAAAAUAAAUCUUAAACUCCAUUUUGGGAUACAAGAAACACAAAAGCAGAAGUAGUGCAGUACUCUGGCCUUUACCUGACUCUGUGAUGCUUCCAAUCUCCCAGCUUCCUUCCUUCUUUGUAGAUAUUCACCAUGGGCUGUGUUGCAUUUAUGGUGGUGCAUCCUGACUUCAAUAUGAAUGGAAAUGAGAUGGUAGGGGUUUCUUCUACACUGUCAUAUAAAAUCCAGAUUAUCUGCUUUGAACUGGAUUUUAUGGCAGUGUAGAAGGAGUCAGGGUUGCUAUUAUUAAUAAUGGGAAAUUACUACAGAUUUUGCAUGAAUGGGCUGCUAUUGCUUUUGUUGGUUCAUUUAGAAUCUAUAUAUAUAAAAGAGUGAUGGCAUCACGGCAAUUCACAAAACAACAAAAGUACAGGCCCCCCAACCUCAAAAUUUGAAACACAACCCAUCAUCCACGCCUCAAGGUUGAUACAACAAAAAGAAAAGAAAAAUAAAGUCCUAAUUAGAGGGAGAGCAAUAAUUUUUUUUAUCCAAUUGUUGCCAGUUUAGAGGGCUAAUCUCUGCCCACUUGGUUGCCUAGCAACCAAGGGACAGCCAGGUUUCAGUUAGGGGACAGGCAGAUUUAGGCCUCACUUAGACUUCUUCCACAGAUUAUCUAAUUUGCACUGGAUUAUAUGGCAGUGUAGACCCAAGGCCCUUCCACACAGCUAUAUAACCCAUUUAUAAUCUUAUAUUAUCUGCUUUGCACUGGAUUAUCUUGACUCCACACUACCAUAUAAUCCACUUCAGUGUGCAUUUUAUACAGCUGUGAAGAAGGGGCCUCAGAUAAUCCAGUUCUGAGCAGAUAAUAUAAGAUUAGAAAUAUACAGUAGAGUCUCACUUAUCCAAGGUAAACAGGCCGGCAGGAUAAGUGAAUAUGUUGGAUAAUAAGAAGGGAUUCAGGAAAAGCCAAUUAAACAUCAAAUUAGGUAAUCGUUAUACAAAUUAAGCACCAAAACAUCAUAUUAUACAACAAAUUUGACAGAAAAAGUAGUUCCAUGCGCAGUAAUGCUAUGUAGUAUUUACAGUAGAGUCUCUGUUAUGAUUGAGCCUCAUGGCUCUGUUACUGGCAGACGUGGGCGUAAGACUCCUCGAGAGUCAGAUACUCUCGAGGAGCGAGAAAGAAAGAGACUGCGAGAUAUCUUUGCAGCACCAUCUGACGAAGAGUCUUUUGAGGGGUUUACGGAGAGAAUGGAGGAGGGGCUGGUUAGCUCGGAGGAGGAUGAGAUGGAUUGGACUCGGGUGAGGGAGGAAUUGGGGGCCACUGGCAAUGAUGGGAUGGAAGAUGAAUGAGGACCUUCAGGAUUAGACCCAUGGACAAGCUGGAGGGAUGGGACGGGAUCCACAGCUGGGGAUGCUGUGGGGCGUAGUCAGAGGUGUUCCAGCUCUGAUGAGGAAAGUGAUGAGGAAACGCCCGGGUUAAGGAGGGCAGCUGAUAGUGAUGAGGAUUUGUAACUGGCAUAAAAUGAGGCUUGGGAGCAAUUGCAAAUUGCGUUGGGCAAGGUAAUCUGGACGAACGCUUGGGAUCUGUGUGGGACGCUUUCCUGAAGACUGGUGUGUUUUCGUGUGCUGAUACCUUUGACCUUCCGUCGUCUUCUUGACGGACGCCAUCUCCUGCUUUGGAUUUCGGACUGAACUGACCACGGCUUGACUUCCCCCUACUCGGACUUGGUGAAACUACAAACGUUCUGCUUCUGGCUUGAACUACGGAAAGGAACUGGGUCUACUCUACUGCUUCAAUCCUCGGCUGAUCUGUGUGUAUUGGAAAUCUUGCCUGCUGUGUGGAGGAGUGACUCAAGUUACUCAAAGCACAGUGCUGGCAGCAGAGAGGAAUCUGCUGCCAAUUAAUUGCAUUCUUUUGAACACUUUGUUCCCCGGCUUCUGUUUUGUUUAUCCCCAGGCUGAAGCAAGCUGUUUUGUUUUUACCCGGAUUAAACUCCGGUUUAAUCCGGUUUAUCUUUUGAACGUUUUUCCUUGCCCCUUUUUGCUUUUAAAGGCUAAUACUGCCUGGCCCUUGUAUUUUACGGGCAUUUUGAGUUCUGUUAUCCAAUAAACUCUGUUAUCUUU
Long non-coding RNA from Anolis carolinensis (green anole), 2150 nucleotides. RefSeq lists it as uncharacterized. The transcript is spliced from 2 exons. The record is from RefSeq and is a predicted model, not a curated record. NCBI's taxonomy places the organism in Eukaryota, Metazoa, Chordata, Lepidosauria, Squamata, Anolidae.